UACGUAGGGUGCAAGCGUUGUCCGGAAUUAUUGGGCGUAAAGAGCUCGUAGGCGGUUUGUCGCGUCUGCUGUGAAAACCCGAGGCUCAACCUCGGGCCUGCAGUGGGUACGGGCAGACUAGAGUGCGGUAGGGGAGAUUGGAAUUCCUGGUGUAGCGGUGGAAUGCGCAGAUAUCAGGAGGAACACCAAUGGCGAAGGCAGAUCUCCUGGGCCGUAACUGACGCUGAGGAGCGAAAGCAUGGGGAGCGAACAGG
Molecule: ribosomal RNA, 254 nt
Filed under: uncultured bacterium
Lineage: Bacteria
Description: partial 16S ribosomal RNA
Rfam family: Bacterial small subunit ribosomal RNA
Source: RNAcentral